RNAcentral lists this ribosomal RNA (472 nucleotides) under uncultured Pelotomaculum sp. RNAcentral's name for it is "bacterial SSU rRNA". It matches the Rfam family "Bacterial small subunit ribosomal RNA", at positions 908 to 1382 of the family's 1533-position model. Lineage: Bacteria; Bacillati; Bacillota; Clostridia; Eubacteriales; Desulfotomaculaceae. The record is from RNAcentral.
AAUUGACGGGGCCGCACAAGCGUGGAGCAUGUGGUUUAAUUCGAAGCAACGCGAAGAACCUUACCAGGUCUUGACAUCCCGAUGCUAUUUCUAGAGAUAGAAAGUUACUUCGGUACAUCGGUGACAGGUGGUGCAUGGUUGUCGUCAGCUCGUGUCGUGAGAUGUUGGGUUAAGUCCCGCAACGAGCGCAACCCCUACGUUUAGUUGCUAACGCGUGAAGGCGAGCACUCUAGACGAACUGCCGUUGACAAAACGGAGGAAGGUGGGGAUGACGUCAAAUCAUCAUGCCCCUUAUGUUCUGGGCUACACACGUGCUACAAUGGCCGGUACAGACGGACGCAAAGCCGCGAGGUGGAGCAAAUCCUAAAAAGCCGGUCUCAGUUCGGAUUGCAGGCUGCAAUUCGCCUGCAUGAAGUCGGAAUCGCUAGUAAUCGCAGGUCAGCAUACUGCGGUGAAUACGUUCCCGGGCCUU